RNAcentral lists this ribosomal RNA (2591 nucleotides) under activated sludge metagenome. RNAcentral describes it as "bacterial LSU rRNA". It matches the Rfam family "Bacterial large subunit ribosomal RNA", at positions 1110 to 2925 of the family's 2925-position model. The record is from RNAcentral.
AAGUAGCCAUCCUUUAAAGAGUGUGUAACAACUCACUAUCAGAGACUUUACUUAGGUAAAGUUUGGUUGGUUGCGCUAAAAAUGAAUCGGGGCUAAGUCAAAUACCGAAACUGAAGAUAUCAAUCGUUAAGAUUGAUGUGGUAGAGGAGCAUUUUAUAUGCGUUGAAGCAGCAGUUGUGAAACGCUGUGGAGUAUAUAGAAGAGAAAAUGUUGGCAUAAGUAACCUGCAAUCCUGAUGAAAUAUCAGGAGGCCGAAAACCCAAGGUUUCCUACUCAACGACAAUCGGAGUAGGGUUAGUCGGUCCUAAGCUGAUGCCGAAAGGCGAAAGUGAUGGACAGCUGGUUAAUAUUCCAGCACUUCAGUUCCUUGUGAUGGAGGGACAAAGCAUAGUAGAUGAAGCAUUUUAUUAGAUUAAUGUCUUUUACUAAGGACGUGUGUUUGGCAAAUCCGACACGCUGGAUUAAAUUCCAAGUUCAAGGAAAAAAGCGAAGCUCUGUAAUUAGGGCGAAGUUCAUCGAGCAUGCUUUCGAGAAAAUCUUCUAAACUUAGAGGAAUUGAAACCGUACCAAAACCGACACAGGUGGGUAAGGCGAGAAGCCUAAGGCCAACGAGUGAUUGGUCCCUAAGGAACUCGGCAAACAAGCUGGGCGUAAGUUCGCAAGAUGCCCUCCCUAGCUGCUGUUUUACAGCGGAAGGGCGCAGCUAAAGUUUUUCUGGCGACUGUUUACCAAAAACACAGCUCCCUGCAAAAUCGUAAGAUGAAGUAUAGGGGGUGAAACCUGACCGAUGCGAGAAGGUUAAAACUGGCGAUGUCAGUGCUUGCACUGAUGUUGACUGGUCGAAGCCCUCGUCAAUGUCGGCUGUAACUAUAACGGUCCAAAGGUGGGAUGUGCGCCGCCUUUGUAAAAUCUGGCUAUAUGCUGGAAUAUCUGGAGAAUCCUAAGCUACUAUGGUAUAAUUUUACCUUGAAAGAUAAAAUUUAUGCCAAGUAAAAAAGCUUUAGGCGUAGUUACUAUAAAUAAUAAUCAAAAUAGUGAACUGCCAGACAAUCAGCAGGAAAGGCUGAAAACAAUAGGAUGGAUAGUAGGAUUUGUUGAUGGUGAAGGUUGCUUCACUGUUAGUAUUUUUAAAAAUCCUACAGCUCAACGUAAAUUAGGUUGGCAAGUAUUUCCUGAGUUUGUUGUUUCUCAAGGGGGAAAAAGUUUAUCUACUCUUGUAUUUAUUCAAAACUAUUUUCAGUGCGGUUUAAUAAUCAAAAAUAGUCGUCACGACAAUCAUCGUGAAGAUAUGUAUAAAUACUGUGUUCGUUCGCAAAAAGAUUUAAAAGAAAAAAUUAUCCCCUUUUUUCUAGAAAACAAACUUAAAUCAGCAAAACAAAAAGAUUUUGAGAUUUUUAUUGAAAUUGUUCAAUUAAUGACCAAAGGAAAACAUCUUAAUCAAAAAGGAUUAAGACAAAUUGCCGAAAUGGCUUUAAAGAUGAAUCGCAAGGUUCGUCCUAAGUUUUCAGAAAUCCUCAGACACUAAUACGCCAGAUUCAACUUUUUAAUUAAGAUAAUUAAGAGUUGAAAAGAUAGAGUGCGAUCUGUUUGGCGACAAACAGUAAAUAAUUGAGUGAUCAAUUAUGUAAAUAACAAUAAUAAGCGCAAUUCCUUUUCAGGUAAGUUCUGAAGCGCAUGAAAGGUCCAACGACUGGAAAACUGUCUCAGGGACUAGCUCGGUGAAAAUGCGAACCCGGUGAAGACGCCGGAUACCUGCGGCAAGACGAGAAGACCCCGGGAGCUUUACUGUAGCCUGGUAUUGUUUUAGGGGUUAGGUUGCGUAGCGUAGUGGGGAGGCGAUGAAUUCUAGCUUUCGGGCUAGAAAGAGCCGACAAUGAAACACCCAUCUUCCUAACUUUUAAAACUAAUUUAAAAGGAAAAAACUUUUAAUGACAGUGCUUGGCAGACAGUUUUUGUGGGGCGCAAUCCUCCCAAAAAGUAACGGAGGAGUUUAUUAAGGUCAGCUUGCUCCGGAUGGAAAUCGGAGCGAAAGUGUAAAGGCAUAAGCUGGCUUGACUGCAAGAGUGACAACUCGCGCAGAUGCGAAAGCAGAACUUAGUGACCCGAUAGCUCUUAAUAGAAAGGCUAAAGACAACGGACAAAAGCUACCCCGGGGAUAACAGGCUGGUGAGGUCCGAGAGUCCACAUCGACGACCUCGCUCGGCACCUCGAUGUCGGCUCACCACAUCCUGGGGCUGAAGAAGGUCCCAAGGGUUGGGCGGUUCUCCCAUUAAAGUGGUACGUGAGCUGGGUUCAAACCGUCGUGAGACAGGUUGGUCUCUAUCUGCCGUAGGCGUUCGAUACUUGAAAGAAGCUGUCCAUAGUACGAAAGGACCUGGAUGGACGCACCUCUGGUGUACUGGCUUUCCUGCUAAGGGAAUCGUCAGGUAGCUAUGUGCGGUUUGGAUAAGAGCUGAAAGCAUCUAAGCACGAAGCCAUUCUUAAGAUAAGGUAUCGUUAAGAGCGCUAGUAGACUACUAGCUUGAUAGGCGUUAGGUGUAAGAACAGUAAUGUUUUUAGCCAAGACGUACUAAAGCUCGAAAUUGCGAACA